This 1169-nucleotide ribosomal RNA is filed under the name Aspergillus niger. Its description in RNAcentral is "partial large subunit ribosomal RNA". It matches the Rfam family "Eukaryotic large subunit ribosomal RNA", at positions 97 to 1280 of the family's 3401-position model. The record is from RNAcentral. Lineage: Eukaryota; Fungi; Ascomycota; Eurotiomycetes; Eurotiales; Aspergillaceae.
AGCGGCAAGAGCUCAAAUUUGAAAGCUGGCUCCUUCGGAGUCCGCAUUGUAAUUUGCAGAGGAUGCUUUGGGUGCGGCCCCCGUCUAAGUGCCCUGGAACGGGCCGUCAGAGAGGGUGAGAAUCCCGUCUUGGGCGGGGUGUCCGUGCCCGUGUAAAGCUCCUUCGACGAGUCGAGUUGUUUGGGAAUGCAGCUCUAAAUGGGUGGUAAAUUUCAUCUAAAGCUAAAUACUGGCCGGAGACCGAUAGCGCACAAGUAGAGUGAUCGAAAGAUGAAAAGCACUUUGAAAAGAGAGUUAAACAGCACGUGAAAUUGUUGAAAGGGAAGCGCUUGCGACCAGACUCGCCCGCGGGGUUCAGCCGGCAUUCGUGCCGGUGUACUUCCCCGUGGGCGGGCCAGCGUCGGUUUGGGCGGCCGGUCAAAGGCCCCUGGAAUGUAGUGCCCUCCGGGGCACCUUAUAGCCAGGGGUGCAAUGCGGCCAGCCUGGACCGAGGAACGCGCUUCGGCACGGACGCUGGCAUAAUGGUCGUAAACGACCCGUCUUGAAACACGGACCAAGGAGUCUAACAUCUACGCGAGUGUUCGGGUGUCAAACCCGUGCGCGCAGUGAAAGCGAACGGAGGUGGGAGCCCCCUUGCGGGGGCGCACCAUCGACCGAUCCUGAUGUCUUCGGAUGGAUUUGAGUAAGAGCGUAGCUGUGGGGACCCGAAAGAUGGUGAACUAUGCCUGAAUAGGGCGAAGCCAGAGGAAACUCUGGUGGAGGCUCGCAGCGGUUCUGACGUGCAAAUCGAUCGUCAAAUUUGGGUAUAGGGGCGAAAGACUAAUCGAACCAUCUAGUAGCUGGUUCCUGCCGAAGUUUCCCUCAGGAUAGCAGUAACGCAAAAUCAGUUUUAUGAGGUAAAGCGAAUGAUUAGAGGCAUUGGGGUUGAAACAACCUUAACCUAUUCUCAAACUUUAAAUAUGUAAGAAGCCCUUGUUGCUUAGUUGAACGUGGGCAUUAGAAUGGAGCGUUACUAGUGGGCCAUUUUUGGUAAGCAGAACUGGCGAUGCGGGAUGAACCGAACGCGAGGUUAAGGUGCCGGAAUGCACGCUCAUCAGACACCACAAAAGGUGUUAGUUCAUCUAGACAGCCCGACGGUGGCCAUGGAAGUCGGAAUCCGCUAAGGAGUG